Cydia fagiglandana is the source of this 289-nucleotide long non-coding RNA. RefSeq lists it as uncharacterized. NCBI's taxonomy places the organism in Eukaryota, Metazoa, Arthropoda, Insecta, Lepidoptera, Tortricidae. The record is from RefSeq and is a predicted model, not a curated record. The transcript is spliced from 2 exons.
UUUAUAUAAUUAUACCUACACUGCAUCUAGUGCUCCAAAUGAAUGCUGACUAAAUUAUUUUCUUUUAUUAAACAAACAGGUAUGUAAAGAGACUUAAAACUUCUUUUAAAAAGAUACAUACAGACAGCAUCAAAAUAUAAACUAGGAUUUCCCAUAGGUAUAUAUGUGCAGUAGCUGAGUGCAUGAAACAAAUUAGCCUAAAUAAUAUAAUAUUUUCUUGAUGACUAACAUAAGCACAACUUAUACAAGAAUAAUCUAUUCCAUUGCUCUCAAUAUUUUUGUUACAUUU